This 253-nucleotide ribosomal RNA is filed under the name uncultured bacterium. RNAcentral describes it as "partial 16S ribosomal RNA". It matches the Rfam family "Bacterial small subunit ribosomal RNA", at positions 524 to 776 of the family's 1533-position model. The record is from RNAcentral.
UACGUAGGGCGCAAGCGUUGUCCGGAAUUAUUGGGCGUAAAGAGCUCGUAGGCGGUUUGUCGCGUCUGCUGUGAAAACCUAAGGCUCAACCUUGGGCUUGCAGUAGGUACGGGCAGACUAGAGUGCGGUAGGGGUGACUGGAAUUCCUGGUGUAGCGGUGGAAUGCGCAGAUAUCAGGAGGAACGCCGGAGGCGAAAGCGAGUGACUGGCGCGUUCCUGACGCUGAGGUGCGAAAGCUAGGGGAGCAAACAGG